GACGAACGCUGGCGGCGUGCUUAACACAUGCAAGUCGAACGGAAAGGCCUGCAGCUUGCUGCGGGUACUCGAGUGGCGAACGGGUGAGUAACACGUGGGUGAUCUGCCUUGCACUUCGGGAUAAGCUUGGGAAACUGGGUCUAAUACCGGAUAGGACAGCUGUUUAGUGUCAGUUGUGGAAAGUUUUUUCGGUGCAAGAUGAGCUCGCGGCCUAUCAGCUUGUUGGUGGGGUAAUGGCCUACCAAGGCGUCGACGGGUAGCCGGCCUGAGAGGGUGUACGGCCACAUUGGGACUGAGAUACGGCCCAGACUCCUACGGGAGGCAGCAGUGGGGAAUAUUGCACAAUGGGCGGAAGCCUGAUGCAGCGACGCCGCGUGGGGGAUGAAGGCCUUCGGGUUGUAAACUCCUUUCGACAGGGACGAAGCGUAAGUGACGGUACCUGUAUAAGAAGCACCGGCUAACUACGUGCCAGCAGCCGCGGUAAUACGUAGGGUGCGAGCGUUGUCCGGAAUUACUGGGCGUAAAGAGCUCGUAGGUGGUUUGUCGCGUCGUCUGUGAAAUUCCGGGGCUUAACUCCGGGCGUGCAGGCGAUACGGGCUGACUUGAGUGCUGUAGGGGAGACUGGAAUUCCUGGUGUAGCGGUGAAAUGCGCAGAUAUCAGGAGGAACACCGAUGGCGAAGGCAGGUCUCUGGGCAGUAACUGACGCUGAGGAGCGAAAGCAUGGGUAGCGAACAGGAUUAGAUACCCUGGUAGUCCAUGCCGUAAACGGUGGGCGCUAGGUGUAGGGGGCUUCCACGUCUUCUGUGCCGUAGCUAACGCAUUAAGCGCCCCCCCUGGGGAGUACGGCCGCAA
This 853-nucleotide ribosomal RNA is filed under the name uncultured Actinomycetes bacterium. RNAcentral's name for it is "bacterial SSU rRNA". It matches the Rfam family "Bacterial small subunit ribosomal RNA", at positions 28 to 891 of the family's 1533-position model. The record is from RNAcentral. Lineage: Bacteria; Bacillati; Actinomycetota; Actinomycetes.